Molecule: ribosomal RNA, 243 nt
Filed under: uncultured bacterium
Lineage: Bacteria
Description: partial 16S rRNA
Rfam family: Bacterial small subunit ribosomal RNA
Source: RNAcentral
GUGUCAGCAGCCGCGGUAAUACGUAGGUUGCGAGCGUUGUCCGGAUUUACUGGGCGUAAAGGGUGCGUAGGCGGAUAUUUAAGUGGGAUGUGAAAACCCCGGGCUUAACCUGGGGACUGCAUUUCAAACUGGAUAUCUGGAGUGCAGGUGAGGAAAGCGGAAUUCCUAGUGUAGCGGUGAAAUGCGUAGAGAUUAGGAAAAAAUCCAGUGGCGAAGGCGGCUUUCUGGACUGUAAAUGAAGCU